AACGCGAAGAACCUUACCUACCCUUGACAUGCCACUAACGAAGUAGAAAUACAUUAGGUGCCCGUAAGGGAAAGUGGACACAGGUGCUGCAUGGCUGUCGUCAGCUCGUGUCGUGAGAUGUUGGGUUAAGUCCCGCAACGAGCGCAACCCUUGUCUCUAGUUGCUACGCAAGAGCACUCUAGAGAGACUGCCGGUGACAAACCGGAGGAAGGUGGGGAUGACGUCAAGUCCUCAUGGCCCUUAUGGGUAGGGCUUCACACGUCAUACAAUGGUGCAUACAGAGGGUUGCCAACCCGCGAGGGGGAGCUAAUCUCAGAAAAUGCAUCGUAGUCCGGAUCGUAGUCUGCAACUCGACUACGUGAAGCUGGAAUCGCUAGUAAUCGCGGAUCAGAAUGUCGCGGUGAAUACGUUCCCGGGUCUUGUACACACCG
RNAcentral lists this ribosomal RNA (431 nucleotides) under uncultured bacterium. RNAcentral describes it as "bacterial SSU rRNA". It matches the Rfam family "Bacterial small subunit ribosomal RNA", at positions 958 to 1392 of the family's 1533-position model. The record is from RNAcentral.